AUGCAUGUGUAAGCAUAAGCCAACAAAUGGUAAAGCUGCGAAUGGCUCAUUACAACAGCCACUGUUUAUUUGAUCUUAAUCCAUUACUUGGAUACCUGUUCUAAUUGAAGAGCUAAUACAUGCAACUAAGUCCCAACCGCAAGGGAGGGAUGCACUUAUUAGACCAAAACCAAUCGGGCUUGCCCGAGGUUUGGUGACUCUGAAUAAUUUCGCUGACCGCACGGUCUCGCACCGGCGGCGCAUCUUUCAAAUGUCUGCCUUAUCAACUUUCGAUGGUAGUUUAUGCGCCUACCAUGGUUGUAACGGGUAACGGAGAAUAAGGGUUCGACUCCGGAGAGGGAGCCUGAGAAACGGCUACCACAUCCAAGGAAGGCAGCAGGCACGCAAAUUACCCACUCCCGGUACGGGGAGGUAGUGACGAAAAAUAACGAGACGGUUCUCUACGAGAUUCCGUCAUCGGAAUGGGUACAAUCUAAAUCCUUUAACGAGGAUCUAUUGGAGGGCAAGUCUGGUGCCAGCAGCCGCGGUAAUUCCAGCUCCAAAAGCGUAUAUUAAAGUUGUUGCGGUUAAAAAGCUCGUAGUUGGAUCUGCGUCCUAGGCUAGUGGUCCCCCAGCGGGUGGUUACUGCUAUGCCUGGACUAAUCUCUCUGGUUUUCCCUUGGUGCUCUUUACUGAGUGUCUUGGGUGGCUGGAACAUUUACUUUGAAAAAAUUAGAGUGCUUAAAGCAAGCAGUUAGCUUGAAUAGUGGUGCAUGGAAUAAUGGAAUAGGACUUCGGUUCUAUUUUGUUGGUUUUCGGAACUCGAGGUAAUGAUUAAGAGGGACAGACGGGGGCAUUCGUAUUGCGACGUUAGAGGUGAAAUUCUUGGAUCGUCGCAAGACGGACUACUGCGAAAGCAUUUGCCAAGAAUGUUUUCAUUAAUCAAGAACGAAAGUUAGAGGUUCGAAGGCGAUCAGAUACCGCCCUAGUUCUAACCGUAAACGAUGCCAACUAGCGAUCCACCGGAGUUACUUCUAUGACUCGGUGGGCAGCUUCCGGGAAACCAAAGUGUCUGGGUUCCGGGGGAAGUAUGGUUGCAAAUCUGAAACUUAAAGGAAUUGACGGAAGGGCACCACCAGGAGUGGAGCCUGCGGCUUAAUUUGACUCAACGCGGGGAAACUCACCCGGCCCGGACACCGUAAGGAUUGACAGAUUGAAAGCUCUUUCUUGAUUCGGUGGGUGGUGGUGCAUGGCCGUUCUUAGUUGGUGGAUCGAUUUGUCUGGUUAAUUCCGAUAACGAACGAGACUCUAGCCUACUAAACUAGGCGACGGAUUUGGUUUGUCCGUUGAACUUCUUAGAGGGACUGAGGUCAUUUAGGCCUACGAGAUUGAGCAAUAACAGGUCUGUGAUGCCCUUAGAUGUUCGGGGCUGCACGCGCGCUACACUGUAGGAAUCAACGUGCAUUUGGUCCUGAGCCGAAAGGUUUGGGUAACCCGUUGAAACUCCUACGUGCUUGGGAUAGGGAAUUGUAAUUAUUUCCCUUAAACGAGGAAUUCCUAGUAAGUGUGGGUCAUCAUCUCGCGUUGAUUACGUCCCUGCCCUUUGUACACACCGCCCGUCGCUACUACCGAUUGGAUGAUUUAGUGAGGCCUUCGGACUGGCGCCGUAGCGGCUUAACGGCUGCGUCGGUGUCUGGAAAGAUGUCCAAACUUGACCAUCUAGAGGAAGUAAAAGUCGUAACAAGGUUUCCGUAGUGAUC
This 1739-nucleotide ribosomal RNA is filed under the name Anticoma sp. 1 TJP-2019. Its description in RNAcentral is "SSU rRNA". It matches the Rfam family "Eukaryotic small subunit ribosomal RNA". The record is from RNAcentral. Lineage: Eukaryota; Metazoa; Nematoda; Enoplea; Enoplida; Anticomidae.